GUUUUAUGUUACUGUGUUUUCUCAGCAAAUUCAUCUGCUCUCAAUGGAAUGUGAUUUCUCUCAUAAAAUGUUGUAGUUUUGAAUGUUCUGAUUGAUACAGAGACCACCAACUUCAGGUGGACCACAUAUAUGCAUGUGCAUAUAAGACUAAUGAUGAAUUGAUGUUAUUUUUACCACUUUUGGUUUCAGUUUUAUAGCAGCAGAUUGUCUCGUGCAGAGUACCUUGAAUGAUUUGUACCUACUUCCUGCACUUCCCCAGGAUAGAUGGAUGAAUGGAUCUGUAAAAGG
This 288-nucleotide unclassified non-coding RNA is filed under the name Hevea brasiliensis (rubber tree). The record is from RNAcentral. Lineage: Eukaryota; Viridiplantae; Streptophyta; Magnoliopsida; Malpighiales; Euphorbiaceae.